Molecule: small RNA, 122 nt
Filed under: Marmota monax (woodchuck)
Lineage: Eukaryota; Metazoa; Chordata; Mammalia; Rodentia; Sciuridae
Source: RNAcentral
GCUGGGUGCAGUGGCACACGCCUGUAAUCCCAGCCACUCAGGAGGUUGAGGUAGGAGGAUUGCAAGUUUGAGGUCAGUCCAGCAACUUAUGCCCUAAGCAACUUAGCAAGACCCUAUCUCAA